CAGUAGCCGCGGUAAUACGAAGGGUGCAAGCGUUAAUCGGAAUUACUGGGCGUAAAGCGUGCGUAGGCGGUGAGUUAAGUCUGCUGUGAAAUCCCCGGGCUCAACCGGGGAAGUGGAGCCGAAACGACCCGUCUGGAGGGACGUAGGGGGACCUGGAACUUCCGGUGGAGCGGUGAAAUGCGUUGAGAUCGGAAGGGACGCCCGUGGCGAAAGCGAGGUCCUGGACGUCUGCUGACGCUGAGACGCGAAAGCCAGGGGAGCGAACGGGAUUAGAUACCCCAGUAGUCCCUGUCUCUUAUAC
RNAcentral lists this ribosomal RNA (301 nucleotides) under uncultured bacterium. RNAcentral describes it as "partial 16S ribosomal RNA". It matches the Rfam family "Bacterial small subunit ribosomal RNA", at positions 509 to 807 of the family's 1533-position model. The record is from RNAcentral.